CUACGGGUGGCUGCAGUGAGGAAUCUUGCGCAAUGGGGGAAACCCUGACGCAGCGACGCCGCGUGGGUGAUGAAGGCCUUCGGGUCGUAAAGCCCUGUCGAGAGGGAAGAAUUGCAUUUAGGUUAAUAGCCUAAUUGUUUGACGGUACCUCCAAAGGAAGCACCGGCUAACUCCGUGCCAGCAGCCGCGGUAAUACGGAGGGUGCAGGCGUUGUUCGGAAUCACUGGGCGUAACGGGCGUGUAGGCGGCUGAGUAAGUCAGGUGUGAAAUCCCUCGGCUCAACCGAGGAAGUGCAUUUGAUGCUGCUCAUCUUGAGUACUGGAGAGGGAGAUGGAAUUCCCGGUGUAGAGGUGAAAUUCGUAGAUAUCGGGAGGAACACCAGUGGCGAAGGCGAUCUCCUGGACAGAUACUGACGCUAAGGCGCGAAAGCGUGGGGAGCAAACAGGAUUAGAUACCCUUGUAGUC
This 465-nucleotide ribosomal RNA is filed under the name uncultured bacterium. Its description in RNAcentral is "partial 16S ribosomal RNA". It matches the Rfam family "Bacterial small subunit ribosomal RNA", at positions 339 to 795 of the family's 1533-position model. The record is from RNAcentral.